UAACGCGUAAGAAUCUACCUAGUAGUGGGGGACAACUCGGGGAAACUCGAGCUAAUACCGCAUACGCCCUACGGGGGAAAGCGGGGGAUCUUCGGACCUCGCGCUAUUGGAAGAGCUUGCGUUAGAUUAGCUAGUUGGUGGGGUAAAGGCUCACCAAGGCGACGAUCUAUAGCUGGUCUGAGAGGAUGAUCAGCCACACUGGGACUGAGACACGGCCCAGACUCC
This 225-nucleotide ribosomal RNA is filed under the name uncultured bacterium. Its description in RNAcentral is "partial 16S ribosomal RNA". It matches the Rfam family "Bacterial small subunit ribosomal RNA", at positions 111 to 339 of the family's 1533-position model. The record is from RNAcentral.